Non-coding RNA from Pelobates cultripes (western spadefoot toad), 523 nucleotides. The record is from the annotation of a GenBank genome assembly. NCBI's taxonomy places the organism in Eukaryota, Metazoa, Chordata, Amphibia, Anura, Pelobatidae.
UAGGUUGAGGAGACCGUGGCGGUGGAGGAGGAGGAUGAGGUAGCCAACACUGUUUUUUAUAUAUAUAUAUAUAUAUAUAUAUUUUUAAUUGGGGUAGCCCCCAAAAUAUUGGGACAUAUAAAAAAAGACAACUCUGUUCCGCAGAGUAGCAGUUGACAUUAUAACUGUGCAGGCACUUUGUUUACUCUAGAGAACCUCGGGCCAAUCGUACAUCCCCGUGGCGGCGACUUUGCACGCGGAUGUCAUCCAUAUCAACUUUUGAUGCCAGUUUCUGCGCCUACCAUGGUGACCACGGGUAACAGGGAAUCAGGGUUCCAUUCCGUACAGGGACCCUGAGAAACGGCUACCACAUGCAAGGAAGGCAGCAGGCGGGCAAAUGACCCACUCCCGAUGACAAAUAACAAUACAGGACUCUUUAGAGGUCCUGUAAUGAGUCCACUUGAAAUCCUUUAACUCUGAUCAAUUGGAGGGAAGUCUGGUGCAAAGCCACUGACCCGUGCGUGUUGCAGCUGAAACUCCACUA